AUGAAAACUAAAUUAGAAGAUAGAUUCAGAAAAACCAAACGGGGAAACCGUGAAAUAGCUCAACCAGAAAAAUCAGAAAGUUAUAACAAAUCAUUAAUCCCAAGCAGAAUUUCUCCACAAGAAAAACUCAGAAUCAAAAUUCAAUUGAUAUUCCAGCUCAGCAAAACUUCUCAAGCAAGUUAA
Vicia faba (fava bean) is the source of this 183-nucleotide non-coding RNA. NCBI's taxonomy places the organism in Eukaryota, Viridiplantae, Streptophyta, Magnoliopsida, Fabales, Fabaceae. The record is from the annotation of a GenBank genome assembly.